This 1173-nucleotide long non-coding RNA is filed under the name Homo sapiens (human). RNAcentral describes it as "HSALNT0378967". Lineage: Eukaryota; Metazoa; Chordata; Mammalia; Primates; Hominidae. The record is from RNAcentral.
AUUCUGAAAGGACGUGCGUGUGUGUGGAGAGUGGCUGUGAAAGCGACACGGGCUCUGUGGGAAGAGAAGUAAGGAGGACUUCUGGGAAGGAAACGAGGUUCUCGGAUGAGCAGGGGCUGUGAUAUGAAAGUGAUCAAGAGAUGGGACCAUCUAGUUGCAAGAGAACAAGCUCAGGGCUCCCCCUGAUUCUACAUGAUGUAUUUGUCUUCACUUUCAAAGAGCGUAAAGUGAAAGAAAGGAGGAAGUCCACACCCUUGGGUUUGGGGGCAUCGGAUCCAGUGUGCAAUGAUUUCAGGAAGAUAAAAUAGCCGUGGCAUUUUGAAAACCAGCUCAGAAGAUAUAAGCAUAUGAAAUGGUGAGUGUUUGGUGAACCGCACGGUAGAGUGGUUAAGCAUUUGGUCUUCUGAGUCAGUCGAAACUUUGGCUUAAGGCCCAACUGCAUCAUUUACUAGCUGUGUGACCUUCAGCAAGUGACUUACCUUAUCUGAGCUCCAAUAUCCUUAUCUCUAUACUGGGGGUAAAGUUACCAACCUCCUAAAAUAUUGUGAAGAUUUCUGGAAAUGGUGUUUAUAAAGUAUUGGUGCGGUUCUUGGCAAAUGCUUCAAACUCAAUAAAUGGAAGCUGCCAUCGUCAGUGUCAUCAUCAUCAUCGUUACCAUCAUCACCACCACUGAUGUCAUUAUCAGGAGGAAGAAAAGAAGAAGGAAACAUUUUCUAGGCUUUUAAAACUUGUUUCAUCCACUUCUGACCUCAGAAUAAUUACAAUAAUCUAUUACUGUGUCAUAAUAUCUAAAAGAACCUAUCUCUACCAUUGUGGGAGGAACCAUAUUAGUUCAGCAGAGUAACUGGGUUCACGCUGCCUUCUCUACCUUCUCAGGCUUCUCUGUGAGGCUUGGUAGAACGAUUUACUCUUCUUCCUGCAUUCUUACUGUGUGGAGUCUGUGUGCCUCCAGUUAGCCCUCGCCUCAUUACCCUUUCCUGUGUCAACAGCUGUGAUUGAUAUCGGGAUGGAUUCGAAGUGAGGCAGCUAGCAGCGUGACCUUGAGCAAAUCAGUUCAUUUCACUGGGGCUUUGUCUCUUCAUCUGGACACUGGGGUCGUAUCACCCACCUCACAAGGUUACAUGAGAUGGUUUUCCCAGCAUGUAAUAGGUUCUCAUAAAGAUCAUAGUUACU